CAGCUUCCGGCGAGCUCCGACGCCGCGCAGCACGCCCCCCAACUCCCCAGAGUCCGCUCCUCCCUACCCUCCGGCCAGAUUCUCCGCUCCCGGCCUCUACCGCCCGCUCGAAACGCCACCCCCAUGGCUAGGGUUUCGGGCAGGGCUUCGCCGGCGCGUCUCCGGCGGCCCAGAUGCAGAUGGAGCACGCCAUGGGAAUUCCCCAUCCACCAUGGUCGCCGCCAUCAAGGGCUUCUUCACGGAGAUGUGGAGGACGCCAUGGACCUGCAGCUCCAAGGUUCUAUCUUAGGGCGAGAAGAUCUUCUUAUCUACAAUGGCGAUGCAUGAACCGACGACGAACUGAAGCUGCGACCCAUGGGCUGGCCCUGCCUGCGUGCGUCCGCCAGAACCAGAAACAGACCAGAAAAGGGAAGCAACUAAGGCAUCCGGCUGCCUGAAACUUGCUCAGGGGGCGGCCUAUGGGCACGGCGUACAAGCUCUCUACUCUCUGUCAUCUUAUAUCUCUGAAUUUUCUUUUGCUGCAUGUGCAGGUGUAUGACAGGAACAAUAACUAGCAUGAACCUGGAGGAGUAAGAAGCAGCGACAUCUGGGUUUGCAAUGGCCAAAGAACUCAACAAUUCAUAGUUGGGUCACUUAUUUCUCCCCAGCUCGGUGACUUGGUCAACUGCGCACUUCAGAAGAAUAAGUACUUCUGAAUGUUAAAGCCAAUGUGGGCUAGCAAACUGUAGAGAUAAUUGAUUUGUUUCCAUGUCUACCUUACAGUAUUCAGACUUGGGAGAGAAGGUGCCUCAUGGUAGAAGCUUGACAUAGGUGUGGCCUUGAAUGCCAAGAUUUUUAUGAGUAGCCUCAGCCUUCUGUUCUCCCUACAGAUUCAGGAUUCAAAAGAUCAAUGGGAGUUUGUUUCACACAGUACAAGAGCAAUGUACUGAUGCAUUUUAACUGUCGUUGUGUGUUUUAACAGAAGAAUACUUUCUGAUGUUUUAGUGACCAAGUGUUACUGAUCUUGAGGUGUGUUAUUGAUCUCUGUUUCUAUAUAGAUGGUGCUUUUUUGUACUUUCUGAAGAACAAUUCCAUGCAAGACACCAUCAAAAAGCCUGCUACUGCAGAUGCUUCCUCGCGGAAUCACAGCUUGAUGGAGCUUGCUGCACCUCUGGAACAAGCAGCCGCUUACAAAGAGAAGCUUGAAGGCUCAAACAGAUGUACAUAACGAAAUUCAGAGUUCCAACAGUGCAUAUGUGCAAGAGCGUAGUUCACUUGGAAUUUGCUCGUGGUGGAGACGUUCCACCCACAAAAAAAAGGUGAAGACGUCCUGAAACUUCAUGAGGCAUGGGUGAUACAGAUAGGGCGGAGUCGGAACCAUGUGCAAGAUAGAGACACUAUCAAUCAUCGGUGAAUCCGGUCCAGGAACUCAAAUGUUGGCGUCCAUGGCGCAAGGAGGUGCUUUUCGGAGCAAGCAACCUAGCAAGUGCAUCAGUGAUCAUUGUCAAUUUGGCUAGAAGUAUGUACAUUUCCCUACUACAAUUCCUUCAAACAUGCUGACACAUAUAUGCUUACGGACAUGUGAUUUUUUCUCCG
Molecule: long non-coding RNA, 1575 nt
Organism: Triticum aestivum (bread wheat)
Lineage: Eukaryota; Viridiplantae; Streptophyta; Magnoliopsida; Poales; Poaceae
Exons: 3
Source: RefSeq, a predicted model, not a curated record